CCGUAUUAGCUAGUUGGUGGGGUAACGGCCUACCAAGGCGACGAUACGUAGCCGACCUGAGAGGGUGAUCGGCCACACUGGAACUGAGACACGGUCCAGACUCCUACGGGAGGCAGCAGUAGGGAAUCUUCCGCAAUGGGCGAAAGCCUGACGGAGCAACGCCGCGUGAGUGAUGAAGGUCUUCGGAUCGUAAAGCUCUGUUGUUAGGGAAGAACAAAUGUGUAAGUAACUGUGCACAUCUUGACGGUACCUAACCAGAAAGCCACGGCUAACUACGUGCCAGCAGCCGCGGUAAUACGUAGGUGGCAAGCGUUAUCCGGAAUUAUUGGGCGUAAAGCGCGCGUAGGCGGUUUUUUAAGUCUGAUGUGAAAGCCCACGGCUCAACCGUGGAGGGUCAUUGGAAACUGGAAAACUUGAGUGCAGAAGAGGAAAGUGGAAUUCCAUGUGUAGCGGUGAAAUGCGCAGAGAUAUGGAGGAACACCAGUGGCGAAGGCGGCUUUCUGGUCUGCAACUGACGCUGAUGUGCGAAAGCGUGGGGAUCAAACAGGAUUAGAUACCCUGGUAGUCCACGCCGUAAACGAUGAGUGCUAAGUGUUAGGGGGUUUCCGCCCCUUAGUGCUGCAGCUAACGCAUUAAGCACUCCGCCUGGGGAGUACGGUCGCAAGACUGAAACUCAAAGGAAUUGACGGGGACCCGCACAAGCGGUGGAGCAUGUGGUUUAAUUCGAAGCAACGCGAAGAACCUUACCAAAUCUUGACAUCCUUUGACCGCUCUAGAGAUAGAGUUUUCCUCUUCGGAGGACAAAGUGACAGGUGGUGCAUGGUUGUCGUCAGCUCGUGUCGUGAGAUGUUGGGUUAAGUCCCGCAACGAGCGCAACCCUUGAACUUAGUUGCCAUCAUUCAGUUGGGCACUCUAAGUUGACUGCCGGUGACAAACCGGAGGAAGGUGGGGAUGACGUCAAAUCAUCAUGCCCCUUAUGAUUUGGGCUACACACGUGCUACAAUGGACAAUACAAAGGGCAGCGAAACCGCGAGGUCAAGCAAAUCCCAUAAAGUUGUUCUCAGUUCGGAUUGUAGUCUGCAACUCGACUACAUGAAGCUGGAAUCGCUAGUAAUCGUAGAUCAGCAUGCUACGGUGAAUACGUUCCCGGGUCUUGUACACACCGCCCGUCACACCACGAGAGUUUGUAACACCCGAAGCCGGUGGAGUAACCAUUUUGGAGCUAGCCGUCGAAGGUGGGACAAAUGAUUGGGGUGAAGUCGUAACAAGGUAGCCGUAUCGGAAGGUGCGGCUGGAUCACCUCCUUUCUA
RNAcentral lists this ribosomal RNA (1310 nucleotides) under Staphylococcus pseudintermedius. Its description in RNAcentral is "bacterial SSU rRNA". It matches the Rfam family "Bacterial small subunit ribosomal RNA", at positions 236 to 1533 of the family's 1533-position model. The record is from RNAcentral. Lineage: Bacteria; Bacillati; Bacillota; Bacilli; Caryophanales; Staphylococcaceae.